This 253-nucleotide ribosomal RNA is filed under the name uncultured bacterium. RNAcentral describes it as "partial 16S ribosomal RNA". It matches the Rfam family "Bacterial small subunit ribosomal RNA", at positions 524 to 776 of the family's 1533-position model. The record is from RNAcentral.
UACGUAGGGUGCAAGCGUUGUUCGGAAUCAUUGGGCGUAAAGCGCGUGUAGGUGGUUAUGUAAGUCGAGUGUGAAAUCCCUGGGCUCAACCGAGGAAGUGCAUCCGAAACUACAUAGCUAGAGGACGGUAGAGGAAGGUGGAAUUCCUAGUGUAGAGGUGAAAUUCGUAGAUAUUAGGAGGAAUACCGGUGGCGAAGGCGGCCUUCUGGGCCGGACCUGACACUGAGACGCGAAAGCGUGGGUAGCAAACAGG